GACGAACGCUGGCGGCGUGCUUAACACAUGCAAGUCGAGCGGAAAGGCCCUGCUUUUGUGGGGUGCUCGAGUGGCGAACGGGUGAGUAACACGUGAGUAACCUGCCCUUGACUUUGGGAUAACUUCAGGAAACUGGGGCUAAUACCGGAUAGGAGCUCCUGCUGCAUGGUGGGGGUUGGAAAGUUUCGGCGGUUGGGGAUAGACUCGCGGCUUAUCAGCUUGUUGGUGGGGUAGUGGCUUACCAAGGCUUUGACGGGUAGCCGGCCUGAGAGGGUGACCGGCCACAUUGGGACUGAGAUACGGCCCAGACUCCUACGGGAGGCAGCAGUGGGGAAUAUUGCACAAUGGGCGGAAGCCUGAUGCAGCAACGCCGCGUGCGGGAUGACGGCCUUCGGGUUGUAAACCGCUUUCGCCUGUGACGAAGCGUGAGUGACGGUAAUGGGUAAAGAAGCACCGGCUAACUACGUG
This 468-nucleotide ribosomal RNA is filed under the name uncultured bacterium. RNAcentral describes it as "partial 16S ribosomal RNA". It matches the Rfam family "Bacterial small subunit ribosomal RNA", at positions 28 to 507 of the family's 1533-position model. The record is from RNAcentral.